This 468-nucleotide ribosomal RNA is filed under the name uncultured bacterium. Its description in RNAcentral is "partial 16S ribosomal RNA". It matches the Rfam family "Bacterial small subunit ribosomal RNA", at positions 28 to 507 of the family's 1533-position model. The record is from RNAcentral.
GACGAACGCUGGCGGCGUGCUUAACACAUGCAAGUCGAACGGAAAGGCCCUGCUUUUGUGGGGUGCUCGAGUGGCGAACGGGUGAGUAACACGUGAGUAACCUGCCCUUGACUUUGGGAUAACUUCAGGAAACUGGGGCUACUACCGGAUAGGAGCUCCUGCUGCAUGGUGGGGGUUGGAAAGUUUCGGCGGUUGGGGAUGGACUCGCGGCUUAUCAGCUUGUUGGUGGGGUAGUGGCUUACCAAGGCUUUGACGGGUAGCCGGCCUGAAAGGGUGACCGGCCACAUUGGGACUGAGAUACGGCCCAGACGCCAACGGGAGGCAGCAGUGGGGAAUAUGGCACAAUGGGCGGAAGCCUGAUGCAGCAACGCCGCGUGCGGGAUGACGGCCUUCGGGUUGUAAACCGCUUUCGCCUGUGACGAAGCGUGAGUGACGGUAAUGGGUAAAGAAGCACCGGCUAACUACGUG